UUGGUCAAUGGACGAAAGCCUGAACCAGCCAAGUAGCGUGCAGGAUGACGGCCCUAUGGGUUGUAAACUGCUUUUAUACGGGGAUAAAGUGAGGUACGUGUACCUUUUUGUAUGUACUAGUAUGAAUAAGGACCGGCUAAUUCCGUG
RNAcentral lists this ribosomal RNA (147 nucleotides) under uncultured bacterium. RNAcentral's name for it is "partial 16S ribosomal RNA". It matches the Rfam family "Bacterial small subunit ribosomal RNA", at positions 364 to 507 of the family's 1533-position model. The record is from RNAcentral.